GCCGCAGUCGCACACACACUCACAACAAAGCUCGAGAGGUGCUUGCCGUCAAGUACCCCAACGGCGCGUUUUCUCCCCCUCACCCUUGGGUUCACUAAUCCAAGCUCGCGUGCACUUCAACGAGUCGCCAUCCCCGGCAGAUCCUCAUGGGGCAAGUCGGCGGUACUGCGACGAGCGGCCGUGGCCUCACGGCGCUGCAGGUGGCCGCGGCGUUAAGGGUGACGGCAGCAGCGCGGCUGAAGAAGGCCGAAGCUGCCACUUCGUCCUCGCAGGCGAUGCAUAGUACUCACUGUAGCCUAGCUGAGCAAUCCAAAGCGAUCAAGCCAGAGGACUGCAGCGCGGUGCAGCAGCUCACCGUGCCAUCCACGGACCACAAGGGAAAGCACGUGAAGGUGCGCGUCACCGAGUAUGCCCCGGAGGUGUUCUCCUUUCUUCGCCAGCUGAAGGGCGUGACAGACCCACAGUUCGCAGACGAGUGGUCGUUGCCGGAGAACCGCCUAAAGAUGGAGAUGGGUGAGGGCCGCUCUCAAGCGUUCUUCCUCAAAUCAAAGACCAUGCUGUUCAUGUGCAAGACAAUCUCAGUGGAGGAGGUCCGCGCUUUGCUUCGUGUGCUGCGUGCCUACACGCUACACAUCACCGCCCACCCCAGCAGUCUCCUUAUGCGCUUUUACAUGCUUCUGAAGGUUUCGGUGCGGAACGAGGAGGGGUACAUCUUGUGCUUCAACGACGUCUUCGGCGCCGCCUCCGUGCUGCACGAAAAGUGGGACAUCAAGGGCCGCGUUCCAAAGAAUGGCAAGCACCUCCACUACCCACACCUCAUCCGCAGCGGCUACGAGCCCGAUCCGCAUGUCACGAAAACCCGUAAAAACCCCCACGUUCUUGCCAACCCAGCAAUCGAUGCGUCGCAGCAGCACCCCGGCAGGGAGAGCGCGGUCGUGGUGCGGGGAACCGAGGGCGCGCAAGGACUGCCCACGCUGCACGACAAAGACCUCACGCGGCUCUUUUGGGCGCCACGCACCGCACGUAAGCGGCUUGUGGAGGAACUGCUGCGCGACUAUGACUUUCUCAAAAAUGCGGGCAUGAUGGACUACUCUCUGCUCAUCGGCGUCGCCUACCAGGAUGACAAGACGCGACCGCCAGAGAAGCGGUACGGUAUUGAGAAUACGAAUGUGGCAUCCUCUUCCGGCGUCGCGCCUGUAUCGACGUCGGCCGAGGUGAGGCCCGCCACUCUUGCACAAGACAAUCACCCGUUCGGCACGAGGACGACGCUAACAACGUUUCCAGAGUUUGCCAACGGCGUGCGCAGCUUUGACGAUCAGGAGGUGUACUACAUCGGCGUAAUCGACGUUCUCACCACGUACACGUUGAAGAAAAAGGGUGCCAACUUCUUCAAGUCACUGCUGUGGAAGCAAAAAACGCUCUCCACCAUCCCGCCCGACCGCUACGCGCACCGCAUCACAUCGUUCACCGAGUUGAUCUUCCCGGAUGUGAAGGAGGAGGCGAACGGCGGGUAGUCAUCGCUGCUUUCUUUAUCGGGAUAUGGGGCAACGUGUGGCCGAGCACCAUCAUGGAGGGGGAGCUGCUGCGUGUGCAAUGUGUCGGUGCCCUAAGCCGCCCUCCCUCUUCCCACGCCGACACUGGGGCCGUUUAUUAUUGAUCUGCUGCAUAUGAAGCGUGUUCAUGCUUGCGUGCUGGUGUGCUUGUGCCACACUGUCCUCACUCCGCAGCAGCCCUUCGUUUUAUCUUUAGUUGCCUCUUCGCCGUCUCUUUGUGCCAUUCGUAUGCGUGGUGGAGUCUGAAGCGCUGUCCGUCAAGACCGACCCAGCCUCUCCUCUCUAUCCGCCCUUCUUUCGAAACUAAAAGCCUGCGAGCCUUAUGUGUCGCCCACACUGGCGUCGUCGAUUUCCCACCCCCUCUCCUGCUCUCGUAGUGUUCUACAGCAAGGGGUGCUGCGGCUGCCCCACGUGAGCCGAUUGCUCAAACUCUCAUAG
This 1991-nucleotide unclassified non-coding RNA is filed under the name Leishmania donovani. Its description in RNAcentral is "gene:LdHU3.36.0520(CDS-product:phosphatidylinosit ol-4-phosphate_5-kinase-like_protein)". Lineage: Eukaryota; Euglenozoa; Kinetoplastea; Trypanosomatida; Trypanosomatidae. The record is from RNAcentral.